RNAcentral lists this ribosomal RNA (2019 nucleotides) under Triticum aestivum (bread wheat). Its description in RNAcentral is "partial small subunit ribosomal RNA". The record is from RNAcentral. Lineage: Eukaryota; Viridiplantae; Streptophyta; Magnoliopsida; Poales; Poaceae.
UUAGUUUGUGUCCGGCGUCCGGAGCGCGUCCGUCCGGCGUCCACGUUCCUUCCUUAUUAUCAGAACCUGGACGGACGCCCCCUGCCCGACUUUGACGUGAGCUGGUUUGAUGGCGGGCUCACGAAACGUGUUUCCUUCCUUCCAGAGAAGCUUGGGAGAGCAAGGAACCAAAUGAAAUGAAUCAUGGCGAUGGCCCCCUCCCCUCGGCAUCGCUUCUUCUUGCUUGCAAAGCCAAGCCAGGCCAGGGCCGUUGGUGUUCGUUACUUCUUCGUCGCAACUUGAGAAAAGUUUGUCUUGGUUGGACGCGACAGCAAGGAACAUGUAAACUGCAUCGUGUCGACCGGAGCAAUGGCAAUGGUGGGGUUGUUCCAUCGUAUCAGGCGUGAUAUACUCCAGAUCGAUCCGUGUCGCCAUCAUGGAGUUGUCCAACCAAACAUGGACCCAGGACACAAAUCGACUGCUCGACUGCAACAUGUAUGUACAAAUCAGCCGCUGCGGCAGCUCAGAGGAGCAAACCUCUUCCAAUCUACCCACCACCUUGAGCAGCAGCGCACUCUCCGUGUCAUCAUCCAACAGAGAUAAAAAGAGCUCCACCAUUCUGGGUGCACUCACAUGUUCUUUCAUGGUUUUGACAACGUAGUCCACAAACUCUGGCAACUCCGCGUCGAAAAUUUCCGUCAACUUCCUUGAAAUCCAAGGCCUCAUUCUCUCAUGCAAUCCAUGUUUUUUCUCUCCUGCAUUGCUGAUCUGUUCAUAUGAGAGUAGGCCUGGUGCAAACACAAUGCGCACUUUGCCGUUGCUCUUAUGAAACCCAUCUAUUGCCCUGUGCUGACUUUUCGUCUCAUGUUCAACUGUAGAUUCACACUCCAUAGGGGCAUACAUUGUCGAUGCCCCAUCAAUUUGCAGAGAGGACUUUCCAGCUGCAGUCACUUCUCUAUCUUUCCAACAUUGCAAACCCACAGCUAUCCUUUCCCUUAAAUGGUCCUCUUUUUCGCAUUGUCUCCUGAUUUUCCUCUCUAGUGCAAUACUUCUGGAAUCAACAUCGCUAUUCUCAUCAACAACUUCAUCGUCGAGAGGGAAACAACCCGGAUCACCAGCUAAGGCCCCUAAAUGACCGCUCAGUGAUAAAGGAGGACUGGCAGACACCUGAACUGGCAGAAUUGGUGAACCUGGACAUUUACUCUUCAUUCUUUCUUCAACCGUACUGUGUAUCUUUUGCAUUGCAUCCUUAUCAGCUUCAUUGGCCUUCUCUUCUGUAGUACUCUGACCAUAUUUCUCAAGAUAUGUGGCUGCAUUGACAUUAAGCUGAACUGGCGGAAUUGGUGAACCUGGAAGUUUACUCUUCAAUCUCUCUAUAAUCAUACUGCGUAUCUUUUGAAUAGCAUCCUUAUCAGCUUCACUGGCCUUCUCUUCUAAAGUUCUAUCUCCGUGUUUCUGAAGGUAAUCUCUGAAUGUCACUCUUCCAUUAAGGCCACUUAUGCUCCCUCCGUCCGUUUCACAGUCAGUGCGGCAUAAAAUCAACCCCAAAAGAAUAGGCCCCGCAUGGUGGAAGCGUCUCACUCUAGAUCUCACAUGGCAGAAUCCUCUCCACUCACUGCCGCAUGGGCCCACCUGCCCUUCAUCUGCCUCAUGCCACCUCUCCACCGCUCCCCCCAAAUCCCCCAAGCCACCAUGGUUGUAGGCCACCAGUUCUUGGCCAUCAACACUCAGUUUGUUGAGCAACCGCCUUGCACGAAGACUGCUUUCAGCAGACUCAAACUCACAAAAGCCAAAUGCAGUAGGAGUUCCAUCUAUGGGAUUUGUGACUGGCUUCCAACUUUUUACAGGUCCACAGACCUCGAGAAGAGAAAGAAUAAAAUCUUUGUCCACUGUUGACGCAAUUUUGCCUAUGUAUACAUUAAAUUGUGGUAUAUCUGCUGGAGCAACAGGUGGGACAGGUGGUCUGGUCGCAGCCACAGGAUCAGAAACGCCAUGAAUUACCACUGGUCGUUGAUGCGAGAAAACGCCAGGAGGAUACAU